This 373-nucleotide ribosomal RNA is filed under the name uncultured organism. RNAcentral describes it as "partial 16S ribosomal RNA". It matches the Rfam family "Bacterial small subunit ribosomal RNA", at positions 527 to 896 of the family's 1533-position model. The record is from RNAcentral.
GUAGGUGGCAAGCGUUGUCCGGAAUUAUUAGGCGUAAAGCGCGCGCAGGCGGUUCUUUAAGUCUGAUGUGAAAGCCCACGGGCUCAACCGUGGAGGGUCAUUGGAAACUGGAGAACUUGAGUACAGAAGAGGAAAGCGGAAUUCCACGUGUAGCGGUGAAAUGCGUAGAGAUGUGGAGGAACACCAGUGGCGAAGGCGGCUUUCUGGUCUGUAACUGACGCUGAGGCGCGAAAGCGUGGGGAGCAAACAGGAUUAGAUACCCUGGUAGUCCACGCCGUAAACGAUGAGUGCUAAGUGUUAGGGGGUUUCCGCCCCUUAGUGCCGCAGCUAACGCAUUAAGCACUCCGCCUGGGGAGUACGGCCGCAAAGGCUG